RNAcentral lists this transfer RNA (73 nucleotides) under Dicranopteris linearis. RNAcentral's name for it is "tRNA-Glu". It matches the Rfam family "tRNA". Rfam says of the family: Transfer RNA (tRNA) molecules are approximately 80 nucleotides in length. Their secondary structure includes four short double-helical elements and three loops (D, anti-codon, and T loops). Lineage: Eukaryota; Viridiplantae; Streptophyta; Polypodiopsida; Gleicheniales; Gleicheniaceae. The record is from RNAcentral. RNAcentral also lists the same sequence under 1 other name.
GCCCCUAUCGUCUAGAGGCCUAGGACACCUCUCUUUCAAGGAGGCGACGGGGAUUCGAAUUCCCCUGGGGGUA